RNAcentral lists this long non-coding RNA (199 nucleotides) under Elaeis guineensis (African oil palm). RNAcentral describes it as "long non-coding RNA (EGUI_LNC075932)". Lineage: Eukaryota; Viridiplantae; Streptophyta; Magnoliopsida; Arecales; Arecaceae. The record is from RNAcentral.
UCUCUCUCUAAAAUUUCUCUCUCCUCCUUUCUCUCUCUAAGAAAGAUCUAUAGAUCUUAUGACGGGCCAUCCUUUUCUCUUUUAGGGAUCCAUGUUGACCUCAGUGAGAUGACUCUUAAUCGAUUUAGUAUCCGGAUGGUCUAUCAAACUGAUCAUCCAGUCAACCACUUUUUUUUAUUAUUUAAUUUUAUUGAAUAUA